GGCGAUGCUGAUUCCUUACAUGGUGGGGAUCGUGGCUCUUGUGGUUUUACAAGCCAUUGGAUGGAUUAUCAUCUUCAUCCUCCUCGGAGCCGCAUCUAUCGUGCUGAUCGUGAACCUUGUCGUCUGGCUCCUAUUUACUGCCCUCAACAUCACGUGUCUUCUCUGCGUCAUCUCGCAAUACCAAGAACUUAGCGAAGGUCGAGGAAGGGCCAUGAUGACAUAAACAUAGCAACAUAAAACU
This is a long non-coding RNA of Strongylocentrotus purpuratus (purple sea urchin), 241 nucleotides long. RefSeq lists it as uncharacterized. The record is from RefSeq and is a predicted model, not a curated record. The transcript is spliced from 3 exons. NCBI's taxonomy places the organism in Eukaryota, Metazoa, Echinodermata, Echinoidea, Camarodonta, Strongylocentrotidae.